This is a long non-coding RNA of Cervus elaphus (red deer), 2273 nucleotides long. RefSeq lists it as uncharacterized. The record is from RefSeq and is a predicted model, not a curated record. NCBI's taxonomy places the organism in Eukaryota, Metazoa, Chordata, Mammalia, Artiodactyla, Cervidae. The transcript has 2 exons.
CUGAGCUGGGGAAGCAAAAGCAAGCAAAGCAAGCAUAGCGACAAAAAUAUGUUCAGGAUUCCAAGGCAUCCCCUGUUGAGAAACCAGAUUUUCAGCUUGAUUAGUGAGGGUUUUUAUCUGUCCCCAAAUAGGGAGAUCAUAAGGUCGAUGGCGUCGAGUGCAGCGUUUCUUGGAAAUUUUUAAAGCCGCCAUGGCUUAUACUGGAAACUCCUCCUGGGGAUUUCGCCCUUUCUUCUCUAUCUUGAACGCCAGUGGCUCCCCUGGGGCAGAUCUUACGAAGAGGGAGCCAACUGAUUUCGCUGGAUCCAUCUGGAGAAAUACAAGCAUACCCCUUUCCCUGUAAUAUUAAUUUCCAGAUUUCCAUCGUUGAGUCAACCCAUCCUGAUACCAAAUGGUCAGAGGGAGGGAGGUGUCCUUCAAUGCCUCGAAAUGCUUUUCUGUUUUUGUCAAAAUAUCUCCUUGCGGUAAGUUAAAAGAAUUUAAAACAAAUAAAGCUGUAUUAACAAUAGUUACAGGCUUAAAGAACAUAUUGCAUUGGAAUCUAGUAAAGUCUGCUCUGGAUAAGGAAGAUAAGGAAGAUAGAAGUGUUCCUUUGUAUUCCCCCUUUUUAAAUUUUUUUAUUUGUAGUUUUAAUGUGUGAUGAGUUUGUUUAACUAUGUCUUGUGUUUGUGGAUUAUAAGGAAUGUCUGUAAUAUGUUUAAUAGAAAAUGAUUGUAAAAAUUGUUUGAAUUGUCUAGAAAUAUAGGCAGGGCCAUUGUCUGUUUUUAUACAACUAGGUGUUUCUAUUAUUGCAAAGCAAGCUAACAGGUGGGUUAUAACAGGUGGGUUAUAACAUGUCGAGGCUUCACCUUGGAGAGGUGUGGCCCAUAUAAAAGAAUUUGUAUCAACUGAGACAUGUAAGAAGGAAGAGGGAGAAAGUUCAGGGCAAUGAGUUACAUCUAUUUGUCAUAGUUCAUUGGGUUGUAAUCUUUGAGGAUUGAUACUUUGUGUAAUGGGUUGAAGAUGUAGGGGCCUACAAGUAGAGCAAUUAUUAAUGAUUUUUUUUAGCAUGUCGGUAUGGAAUUUUCUAAAUUUGAUGUAAUGAGCCAGUAUUAUUGUGUAACAGAGCAUGCUGCUCUUCAGGAGUAGCAAAAGAGACGUUUAUCAGCUUGUUCAUUGUCAUGGGCCAUAGGGCCAGGAAGACAAGAAUGUGUUCAAAUAUGGUAAUAUAAAUGGGGAAAGUGUGGUUUCUAAUAAUAGGUUGUAGUUCAAGAAAAAGUUGUUGGGUAAUAGAUUGAUUAGAAUUUAUGGUAGAAGUUUCUAUAUUUUUUAGUACAGAAAUUGAAUAUAAGGAGUCAGAAACUAUAUUAACAGGAUAAGAAUGUAGGUGAAUAACCUGAAUGAGAGCAUAUAAUUUGUUUUGUUGAGCAGAGUGAAAUUUAGUAUAAAAGACUUUAUAUUCUUUGAGACACCAGAAUGAGGCUUUGGUGUUUUUAGUCUCAUCUAUCUAGAAAACAUCAGCUUGAGGUAUAGGUUGUGAUGUGACAAUGUGAGAGAUAAUAAAUUUAGUAUUUUUGAAGAAAUUUCAGAGUUUGUUAGAAGGAUAAUGAAAUGAAAUUUUUAAAAAAUAUUCUAGAAAAGCUAUUUGGAAAUUGGUAGAAGUUUGUAAUAUGUUCUCGAAUUGAGAUUUAUUAAUAGGUACUACAAUUUUAUGAGAAUCAGAGCCAAUUAGAAUCUUAACUCUAUUUUUUUUCUUGAUAAUGAUUAGAGCGAUCAAAUCAAGAUAGGGUAUAAGUGACCUUAUCUCCUUGAAAUGUGUAUAGAUCCAUUUUAUCAGGUGUUCUUGUUGAGUAAGAAGUCUUGUGGGAGAAUGGAGAGAGGGGAAUAUAAAUAACUCUAGAGGUAAAUCAAGUCUAAUAUGAGUAAGAAACUGUUUUUGCAAUUUAUUUUAUACCAGACAGUUUCUCUUGUGUCUCUUAUGAAAGUGAACAAGGGCUAUUUAAAUCGGGAUCUCCUUUUAAAGUGUUAAAUAAAUUAAUCAGUUGAUAAUUUGUAAUGUCUAAAGAGGGUCUAAUCUAAUUUAUAUCACCUAAAAGUUUUUGAAAAUCAUUCAAGGUUGAUAAUUUAUCAAUAUGAAUCUGUGUUAGUUGGGGAGUGAUAUGUUGUCUAUUAACAACAAAUCUUAAGUAAUAGUAAGGUGAAGAGGUUUGAAUCUUUUUAGGGGCAAUGAUUAAUCCAGAAGCUUUUAAGCAUUGUUGAGCUAUGUCAAACAUCUGUUGAGUUUUUAAAACAGA